Molecule: long non-coding RNA, 2708 nt
Filed under: Hordeum vulgare
Lineage: Eukaryota; Viridiplantae; Streptophyta; Magnoliopsida; Poales; Poaceae
Description: long non-coding RNA (HVUL_LNC004450)
Source: RNAcentral
UUAAUUUGAAUAGUGCUUAUGCAACAUCGAAAUUGCUUCACACACGACGAUUUCCGUCCGAUCCUUGUACAACACUUUUCCAGCUCGUGCAAUUUAUUACGUAUCUCUUCCCAUGCCCAAAGUCCAGCCCAAACCUUUUAAAAAAAGUCCAGCCCAAACCUCUUAAAAAAAGUCCAGCCCAAACCCAGACCAACAGAACUACGAUACCCUGUAUAAUCUGUCUAUGACUCCACUUCUUCCCUCCAUACCCUUUCACGCCUCUUCUUCUUCUCUCUGGAACAUGUCUGUCCAUCUUCACGAUCCCCUUCUCCCCGAUCUGUAAAUCAAUCACCAUCAACUUGCAGCGAGCUUUGAUCUGCGACCAAUACAAAGAAAUCCAAUCAAAAGAGAAACAAAACGAGGUAUGUGCAAUCCCUGGUUUAUAUGUUGCGUUCUUUAGAUCUAAUUUUCUGGGGACGGUUAAGAGAUAGGACGGAUGCAAAUUCUGCAAUUCUAUCUCUGAAGUUGAUCUUGGAAAGAUGCCUCACUUAACAACCUCUGUUAUUGGCUAUUAUACUACAGGUAGGUGAUGGAGUCAAAUUUAUCUGAGGAUGAAGCAGUUGAACAGAAUAAUGCAGAAGAUUUCAUCUUGGAGGAAAUUGGGGAUUGUUUGGAUGACCAACAAGGAGAGGCGAGUUUGAUGUUGGAACCUAAAAGGGGAGUGAUGUUCGAUAGUGAGGAUGAUGCUGUUACAUUCUACAAAGGUUAUGCUAAAAAGAAGGGAUUUGGUAUAUUAAGAAGAACAACUAGACAUGAUGAUGACAACAAGCUUAGAUAUUUUACACUUGCUUGUAGCAGACAAGGGAAGGCUCAGUACUCAUCAAAGAACUCAUUUAAACCAAAUCCAUCGACAAGGAUGCAAUGCCCAUGUAAGAUAAAUUUCUCUCGUCGUGGAGAAAAGUUUUGCAUUACUUCUUUUAUACUUGAUCACAAUCAUCCUACAAGUCCUAGCAAAUCCAGAUUUCUGAGGUGUCACAAGAAACUAGACUUAGACGCCAAGAGAAGGUUAGAACUGAAUGAUCAAGCAGGAAUUCGUACGAACAAAAAUUUUGGUUCUCUUGUUAUUCAAGCUGGUGGCUAUGACAAACUUGAAUUUGGUGAAAAGGAGUGCAGAAACUAUUUGCAGGAGACAAGAAGAUUGAAGCUUGGUGCUGGAGAUGCACAUGCAGUUUAUCAAUAUUUUCUCCGUAUGCAGUCAAAAGAUACUAACUUUUUUCAUCUUAUGGAUGUGGCCGAGGAUGGACGACUCAGAAAUGUGUUUUGGGCAGAUGCAAGAAGCAGGGCUGCAUAUGAAUCUUAUUCGGAUGUCAUCACAUUUGACACAACAUACUUAACAAAUAAGUAUAGCAUGCCAUUUGCUCCUUUUGUUGGCGUAAACCAUCACGGAGAAUCAGUUUUGUUAGGUUGCGGUCUUUUGUCGAAUGAAGACACAGAUACUUUUAUUUGGUUAUUCAAUUCUUGGUUAUGUUGUAUGUCAAAUAAAGCACCCAAUGCUAUAAUCACAGACCAGUGCAAAGCAAUGCAGAAUGCUAUUGAAGAAGUUUUCCCUUAUGCUCGUCACAGAUGGUGUAUAUGGCAUAUCAUGAAGAAGAUCCCUGAAAAGCUUAGUGGGUACGAGAAGUAUGAAAAUAUAAAAUAUACCUUGUCAAAUGUGGUGUAUGAUUCCUUGACGAAACAUGCUUUUGAUGAAGGUUGGGUUAAGAUGAUCAACAAAUAUGAUCUUCAGGACAAUGAUUGGCUUGAUGGAUUAUACAGUGAAAGAUAUCGAUGGGCACCGGCAUAUGUGAAAGAUACUUUUUGGGCAGGAAUGUCUUCAACACAAAGGAGUGAGAGUGUGAAUGCUUUCUUUGAUGGCUAUGUCCAUGCCAGAACAACUCUGAAGCAAUUUGUGGAGCAGUAUGAAAAUGCAUUAAGAGACAAGGUAGAGAAAGAAAACAAGGCUGAUUCAAAGUCGUUCCAAGAGGUAAUUCCGUGCAUUACUCACUAUGACUUUGAGAGGCAAUUUCAAGCAGCGUAUACCAAUGCAAAGUUUCAGGAGUUUCAAGAGCAAUUAAGAGGUAAAAUCUAUUGCUAUCCAACUAUGUUGAACAAAGAAGGGUUACUUUAUACAUUUAAAGUCAGAGAGGACCGUAAGAUAUUUUUUGAAGGAGAGGACGGCGAGAUUAAAGAGAACAGAUUUAUUUCAGAGUUCACUGUCUUGUUCAACAAAGUGGAUUGUAAUAUCCAAUGUCUUUGUAGGCUUUUCGAAUUUCGAGGCAUCUUGUGUAGCCACAUCCUUUCUGUUCUUGCUCUCAUGGAGAUCACAGAAGUACCUUCUAGGUAUAUAUUGCAGCGAUGGAGAAAGGAUUUUAAGCGUAAACACACAUUUAUGAAAUGCUCCUAUGAUGAUAUGCUGAAUACACCAGUUAUGCAACGUUAUGAUAGUUUGUGCAAACGUUCCCACCAAGUGGCAGAAAAUGGGGCAGAGUCUGAUGCAUUGCAUAAAUUGGUAAUGGAUGGGCUUAAUCAGUUACAAAUAAAGAUUGAUGCAUACCGUGCUAGCCAUGAAGUCCAGGAUCAGUAUACAGCUUCAAAGCCUGAAGAUACAUUGUUCGAGCAGCACACUGAAAAAGUUGUACUCAGCCCGAUCCAUGUGCGUAGUGUAGGCCGUCCUCGUUCAAAGAGAAAAG